Long non-coding RNA from Cyprinus carpio (common carp), 502 nucleotides. NCBI's taxonomy places the organism in Eukaryota, Metazoa, Chordata, Actinopteri, Cypriniformes, Cyprinidae. The record is from Ensembl.
UUACUGCAACUUAAAAUUCUUAAAGGGAUCACAUCCAAAUAAAAGAACGUAUCUAACAUAUUGCGUGGUAACAAAACAGGUGUCAAAUAAGCAGCCUGUGUGCAACACUGAAUAUAUGGGAUGAACAAUGUUUAACGUAUACUUUUUUUUUUUUUUGAGUAAGUAUGAGGAAGGAUAGGCACUUCUAGUUUCCCAUAUUCAGAUUAUUCAGUCAGACAGAGAGACUCUAAAUGACAAGAACAAACUUUAAGAGACAUCAUGGAAUCUUCAUAUAAAGAGUUGGAGCGGACCUCUUGUUGAAGAACUUCUCCAGGCACUGUGAACCAUCUGAUUAGCCAUCCUGUUUAACACUGCACUGAGGACACUACAACCAGAGAGGGCUGUUCGUGAAGAUAGAAAAUUGAGAGUUAUUGUGACAACCUGGACAGAAUUCAGCUCCAGAUCCAUCCUCAACACCAGACUUCUCACUCACAAGGAUUGCUGUCUACUAGCAUAUUAUGUG